Molecule: non-coding RNA, 202 nt
Filed under: Bacteroides helcogenes
Lineage: Bacteria; Pseudomonadati; Bacteroidota; Bacteroidia; Bacteroidales; Bacteroidaceae
Also listed under: 1 other name
Source: RNAcentral
UUACCUUUGCGAUGCAUUGGUUUGCCGUUCUUGUUCAAAAUCGGCAAUUAAAAGGGAAUCAGGUGUAAAUCCUGAACAGUCCCGCUGCUGUAAGUUUCAUUCAUCGUUGCAGGCAUUAUCUCAAUGCCACUGGAUAAUUUCUUCCGGGAAGGCGUCUGCAACGGAAACGAGUCAGAAGACCUGCCAUGCACACACUAUCAUU